RNAcentral lists this ribosomal RNA (497 nucleotides) under uncultured bacterium. Its description in RNAcentral is "partial 16S ribosomal RNA". It matches the Rfam family "Bacterial small subunit ribosomal RNA", at positions 28 to 507 of the family's 1533-position model. The record is from RNAcentral.
GAUGAACGCUGGCGGCGUGCCUAAUACAUGCAAGUCGAGCGAACAGAUGAGGAGCUUGCUCCUCUGACGUUAGCGGCGGACGGGUGAGUAACACGUGGAUAACCUACCUAUAAGACUGGGAUAACUUCGGGAAACCGGAGCUACUACCGGAUAAUAUAUUGAACCGCAUGGUUCCAUAGUGAAAGACGCUUUUGCUGUCACUUAUAGAUGGAUCCGCGCCGCAUUAGCUAGUUGGUAAGGUAACGGCUUACCAAGGCAACGAUGCGUAGCCGACCUGAGAGGGUGAUCGGCCACACUGGAACUGAGACACGGUCCAGACUCCUACGGGGGGCAGCAGUAGGGAAUCUUCCGCAAUGGACGAAAGCCUGACGGAGCAACGCCGCGUGAGUGAUGAAGGUCUUCGGAUCGUAAAACUCUGUUAUUAGGGAAGAACAAAUGUGGAAGUAACUAUGCACGUCUUGACGGUACCUAAUCAGAAAGCCACGGCUAACUACGUG